CCAAACCAACAAGCUUGCUUGUUGGGGUUGUAGGACACUCUAUACGGAGUUACAAAGGACGACAUUAGACGAAUCAUCUGGAAAGAUGAAUCAAAGAAGGGAAUAAUCCUGUAGUCGAAAAUGUUGUCUCUCUUGAGUGGAUCCUGAGUACGACGGAGCACGUGAAAUUCCGUCGGAAUCUGGGAGGACCAUCUCCUAAGGCUAAAUACUCUCUAGUGACCGAUAGUGAACCAGUACCGUGAGGGAAAGGUGAAAAGCACCCCGGAAGGGGAGUGAAAUAGAACCUGAAACCGUGUGCUUACAAGUAGUCAGAGCCCGUUAAUGGGUGAUGGCGUGCCUUUUGUAGAAUGAACCGGCGAGUUACGAUUUGAUGCAAGGUUAAGCAGUAAAUGUGGAGCCGUAGCGAAAGCGAGUCUGAAUAGGGCGUUUAGUAUUUGGUCGUAGACCCGAAACCAGGUGAUCUACCCUUGGUCAGGUUGAAGUUCAGGUAACACUGAAUGGAGGACCGAACCGACUUACGUUGAAAAGUGAGCGGAUGAACUGAGGGUAGCGGAGAAAUUUCAAUCGAACCUGGAGAUAGCUGGUUCUCUCCGAAAUAGCUUUAGGGCUAGCCUCAAGUGAUGAUUAUUGGAGGUAGAGCACUGUUUGGACGAGGGGCCCCUCUCGGGUUACCGAAUUCAGACAAACUCCGAAUGCCAAUUAAUUUAACUUGGGAGUCAGAACAUGGGUGAUAAGGUCCGUGUUCGAAAGGGAAACAGCCCAGACCACCAGCUAAGGUCCCAAAAUAUAUGUUAAGUGGAAAAGGAUGUGGCGUUGCCCAGACAACUAGGAUGUUGGCUUAGAAGCAGCCAUCAUUUAAAGAGUGCGUAAUAGCUCACUAGUCGAGUGACACUGCGCCGAAAAUGUACCGGGGCUAAACAUAUUACCGAAGCUGUGGAUUGUCCUUUGGACAAUGGUAGGAGAGCGUUCUAAGGGCGUUGAAGCAUGAUCGUAAGGACAUGUGGAGCGCUUAGAAGUGAGAAUGCCGGUGUGAGUAGCGAAAGACGGGUGAGAAUCCCGUCCACCGAUUGACUAAGGUUUCCAGAGGAAGGCUCGUCCGCUCUGGGUUAGUCGGGUCCUAAGCUGAGGCCGACAGGCGUAGGCGAUGGAUAACAGGUUGAUAUUCCUGUACCACCUAUAAUCGUUUUAAUCGAUGGGGGGACGCAGUAGGAUAGGCGAAGCGUGCGAUUGGAUUGCACGUCUAAGCAGUAAGGCUGAGUAUUAGGCAAAUCCGGUACUCGUUAAGGCUGAGCUGUGAUGGGGAGAAGACAUUGUGUCUUCGAGUCGUUGAUUUCACACUGCCGAGAAAAGCCUCUAGAUAGAAAAUAGGUGCCCGUACCGCAAACCGACACAGGUAGUCAAGAUGAGAAUUCUAAGGUGAGCGAGCGAACUCUCGUUAAGGAACUCGGCAAAAUGACCCCGUAACUUCGGGAGAAGGGGUGCUCUUUAGGGUUAACGCCCAGAAGAGCCGCAGUGAAUAGGCCCAAGCGACUGUUUAUCAAAAACACAGGUCUCUGCUAAACCGUAAGGUGAUGUAUAGGGGCUGACGCCUGCCCGGUGCUGGAAGGUUAAGAGGAGUGGUUAGCUUCUGCGAAGCUACGAAUCGAAGCCCCAGUAAACGGCGGCCGUAACUAUAACGGUCCUAAGGUAGCGAAAUUCCUUGUCGGGUAAGUUCCGACCCGCACGAAAGGCGUAACGAUUUGGGCACUGUCUCAACGAGAGACUCGGUGAAAUCAUAGUACCUGUGAAGAUGCAGGUUACCCGCGACAGGACGGAAAGACCCCGUGGAGCUUUACUGUAGCCUGAUAUUGAAAUUCGGCACAGCUUGUACAGGAUAGGUAGGAGCCUUUGAAACGUGAGCGCUAGCUUACGUGGAGGCGCUGGUGGGAUACUACCCUAGCUGUGUUGGCUUUCUAACCCGCACCACUUAUCGUGGUGGGAGACAGUGUCAGGCGGGCAGUUUGACUGGGGCGGUCGCCUCCUAAAAGGUAACGGAGGCGCUCAAAGGUUCCCUCAGAAUGGUUGGAAAUCAUUCAUAGAGUGUAAAGGCAUAAGGGAGCUUGACUGCGAGACCUACAAGUCGAGCAGGGUCGAAAGACGGACUUAGUGAUCCGGUGGUUCCGCAUGGAAGGGCCAUCGCUCAACGGAUAAAAGCUACCCCGGGGAUAACAGGCUUAUCUCCCCCAAGAGUUCACAUCGACGGGGAGGUUUGGCACCUCGAUGUCGGCUCAUCGCAUCCUGGGGCUGUAGUCGGUCCCAAGGGUUGGGCUGUUCGCCCAUUAAAGCGGUACGCGAGCUGGGUUCAGAACGUCGUGAGACAGUUCGGUCCCUAUCCGUCGUGGGCGUAGGAAAUUUGAGAGGAGCUGUCCUUAGUACGAGAGGACCGGGAUGGACAUACCUCUGGUGUACCAGUUGUCGUGCCAACGGCAUAGCUGGGUAGCUAUGUGUGGACGGGAUAAGUGCUGAAAGCAUCUAAGCAUGAAGCCCCCCUCAAGAUGAGAUUUCCCAACUUCGGUUAUAAGAUCCCUCAAAGAUGAUGAGGUUAAUAGGUUCGAGGUGGAAGCAUGGUGACAUGUGGAGCUGACGAAUACUAAUCGAUCGAAGACUUAAUCAA
Molecule: ribosomal RNA, 2653 nt
Filed under: Staphylococcus aureus
Lineage: Bacteria; Bacillati; Bacillota; Bacilli; Caryophanales; Staphylococcaceae
Description: 23S ribosomal RNA
Rfam family: Bacterial large subunit ribosomal RNA
Source: RNAcentral